UACGUAGGGGGCAAGCGUUGUCCGGAAUUAUUGGGCGUAAAGCGCGCGCAGGCGGCCUUGUAAGUCUGUUGUUUAAACUUGGGGCUCAACCCCAAGUCGCAAUGGAAACUGCAAAGCUUGAGUGCAGAAGAGGAAAGCGGAAUUCCACGUGUAGCGGUGAAAUGCGUAGAGAUGUGGAGGAACACCAGUGGCGAAGGCGGCUUUCUGGUCUGUAACUGACGCUGAGGCGCGAAAGCUAGGGGAGCGAACGGG
This 252-nucleotide ribosomal RNA is filed under the name uncultured bacterium. Its description in RNAcentral is "partial 16S ribosomal RNA". It matches the Rfam family "Bacterial small subunit ribosomal RNA", at positions 524 to 776 of the family's 1533-position model. The record is from RNAcentral.